CAGUCGCCGCGGGAAUACAGAGGGUGCGAGCGUUAAUCGGAUUUACUGGGCGUAAAGCGUGCGUAGGCGGCUUUUUAAGUCGGAUGUGAAAUCCCUGAGCUUAACUUAGGAAUUGCAUUCGAUACUGGGAAGCUAGAGUAUGGGAGAGGAUGGUAGAAUUCCAGGUGUAGCGGUGAAAUGCGUAGAGAUCUGGAGGAAUACCGAUGGCGAAGGCAGCCAUCUGGCCUAAUUCUGACGCUGAGGUACGAAAGCGUGGGGAGCAAACAGGAUUAGAUACCCCGGUAGUCCCUGUCUCUUAUAC
RNAcentral lists this ribosomal RNA (301 nucleotides) under uncultured bacterium. RNAcentral's name for it is "partial 16S ribosomal RNA". It matches the Rfam family "Bacterial small subunit ribosomal RNA", at positions 509 to 807 of the family's 1533-position model. The record is from RNAcentral.